Molecule: ribosomal RNA, 390 nt
Filed under: uncultured bacterium
Lineage: Bacteria
Description: bacterial SSU rRNA
Rfam family: Bacterial small subunit ribosomal RNA
Source: RNAcentral
GACGAACGCUGGCGGCGUGCCUAAUACAUGCAAGUAGAACGCUGAAGGAGGUAGCUUGCUACUUCUGGAUGAGUUGCGAACGGGUGAGUAACGCGUAGGUAACCUGGCUCAUAGCGGGGGAUAACUAUUGGAAACGAUAGCUAAUACCGCAUAAGAGUAGCUACUGCAUGGUAGCUACUUAAAAGGAGCAAUUGCUUCACUAUGAGAUGGACCUGCGUUGUAUUAGCUAGUUGGUGAGGUAACGGCUCACCAAGGCGACGAUACAUAGCCGACCUGACGAGGGUGAUCGGGCCACACUGGGACUGGAGACACGGCCCAGACUCCUACGGGAGCAGCAGUAGGGAUCUUGGCAAUGGGGCAACCUGACCGAGCAACGCCGCGUGAGUGAAG